GGCAGCCGGCACUGCUGUGUGACGGCUGGCCGAGAGAAUGGAUCGCACGUCUCCUCGCUUAUUCGACCUACGCCCUUCAGCCGGCAGAAGACCUCCCUCUGCUGAUAUCCUACUCCACAGGUCACCGAACACUAUCAGCAAAAAGAACAAAAAAAAGCAAGAGAGAGAAAACAACAGGUGAAGGUGAAGACUGUACGGGAAUAACAAUGUUAACAUGACCAGCCUCGGCUUUGCAGCACAUAACCAUGCCUCCUGGAUUACGUCACCCAACCAUCCAGUAUUUGUGGCUGAACAGUGGGAUAUCACAUCCAUAUGGGCAAAUUGUCACUCCUUUUUUAAUGAAAACCUCAUCUGCCAGGCAGGAGUUUAACAAAGUUGCUAAUCAUUCCAGGCAGGAUGAAACGACAACUAUGGCACUCCUCUCUCUCUUCCUGAUGAACUUUUAAUAUCAGCAGCAACUUACAACAGUUCUCAGUUCAGCAAUGAGUUCACUCUGUGAACUGAUACUUGCAACAAAGUGGGAAGACUCCAAGUUUUUUUCAGGCACUCUUUAUCCUGCUGUUAAGCAACUCGGAAAACUCAAUGUAUACAAUAUAACACGGAGACUGCUGAUCCCAAAGACAAACCAUCUUCCUACUUCCUUCACUCCUGGUUUCACACUUUUUAAGUACCUUUGAGAACCACUGCUUUUCAGCAAGACUGAGACACAUCCAGCGUCUUAAAGAUGUUUUUCAAAUAAACAAACAAACGAUCUUCAAAAGGCAAAGGAAUGAUUGCUUGUCUUUGUCUCUGGAAUGAAGAUGCCUGGACUUGCGACAAGCUAACAGACCUGGCAAAAUUGAUGCUGAAGAGAACACAGAUGAGAAACAAUCAGCAGAACACCAAGUUAAAUAUUUCAAAUGCACAGAGAGAUGAAAAAGCAUGUAAUCAGAUGAUUGUAGAAGUACAGAGGGGUGAAGGAUCCAUUCCGUUGCUGUACUAUUCUAUGUACUGUGUUCCAAAAUUAACAUCGGAUUUUGUUUUUAAAAAAAAUGAAUAUGUGGUAAAUUUUCAAAUUACAAAUUGAAAGUGCAUCCUUUCAGAGAAAGUAUUGUGAAAUUGGAAACCAGCCACCUGCGAGAUAUUAAAAAAACUACAGGUGCAACAUUUCUUGACAUGUACUCUGUCCCAUGUCAAAACUACGAAUGAAGAAACUGCCCUUAUAGGGGUGGGGACUACCCUACACUCUGAGUUCCUCAGAUGCAAGGCCACAUUUUUAACAGAAAAGGAAGUCAAGGAUCUUCACAGGGUAUCGACCAUCAGCCAGCAUCCCCACAAGGGAAGGCAGGCUAAACACUAGUCACCACAGUAAUGGAGUCACAUUUCGUGCAGAAGGAUGGCCAGCACAAAUACCCAGAGGCAUAGCAAGAAUUAAGAGCAGACGAUGGAGCACUUACGGGUGACCAUUCCCCAGCAUGCCAUUGUCCACAGGGACUGAAGCACGUCAUUGUCUCAGGAGGGCGAGGCAAGUGGGCACAGAAAGAUUCAUCAGCAAUGCCGCCUUGAGCAUCUCUGCAGCUGACGUAGCGAGCACGUGCUCCUUUCCCACAGGAGUCCAGGAUCCAUAUCUCCAUUGGGUCAUCAUCCCUCUUUGAACAGCUGGGCUUGUGGUCGUGACUAUCUUCGAUGGCUCCAAACAAGGAGGCAUCUCACACUCCUGCGUAGAAUUUUGUCAAAACACAAAAACAAUCUGUACUGCGUGAUGAACUUUGGGUGAUUGAAUUUAAGUCAUGGGAGAGAACAUUCUAUCG
Long non-coding RNA from Hemiscyllium ocellatum (epaulette shark), 1790 nucleotides. RefSeq lists it as uncharacterized. The record is from RefSeq and is a predicted model, not a curated record. The transcript is spliced from 11 exons. NCBI's taxonomy places the organism in Eukaryota, Metazoa, Chordata, Chondrichthyes, Orectolobiformes, Hemiscylliidae.